CACGGCCACCGUGGGACACGGCGGUGACAGCAGCCGAUGGCGUUGCUGUCACCCUGUUGGUGGCAGGGGACAGUGGCAGUGUCCUGGUGCCAUCACCAUGGCAGCGUUGGUGACAAAGGAGACAGUGACAACAGCUGGUGGCAUCGAUGGCGUUGCUGUGACAGCGUUGGUGACAGGGGAGGGCAGCUGAUGUCACACAGUGUGACAGCGUUGGUGACAGUGACAGCAGCCGGUGUCACUCACUGUGGCUGUGUUGGUGACAAAGGGGACAGUGGCAGCAGCCGGUGUCACACCCUGUGGCUGUGUUGGAGACAGUGACAGCAGCUGAUGUCGCACAGUGUGACCGUGUUGGUGACAGUGACAGCAGCCGGUGUCACUCACUGUGGCAGGGACAGGGACAGUGACAGCAGCUGGUGUCACACAGUGUGACCGUGUUGGUGACAAUGACAGCAGCCGGUGUCACUCGCUGUGUCCCUGUUGGUGACAGUGU
Melozone crissalis (California towhee) is the source of this 490-nucleotide long non-coding RNA. RefSeq lists it as uncharacterized. The record is from RefSeq and is a predicted model, not a curated record. The transcript has 3 exons. Lineage: Eukaryota; Metazoa; Chordata; Aves; Passeriformes; Passerellidae.